CGCGGGGUGGAGCAGAAGGUAGCUCGUCGGGCUCAUAACCCGAAGGUCGUCGGUUCAAAUCCGGCCCCCGCAACCA
RNAcentral lists this transfer RNA (76 nucleotides) under Aeromonas jandaei. RNAcentral describes it as "tRNA-Met". It matches the Rfam family "tRNA". From Rfam's summary of the family: Transfer RNA (tRNA) molecules are approximately 80 nucleotides in length. Their secondary structure includes four short double-helical elements and three loops (D, anti-codon, and T loops). The record is from RNAcentral. Lineage: Bacteria; Pseudomonadati; Pseudomonadota; Gammaproteobacteria; Aeromonadales; Aeromonadaceae.